CAGCCGCCGCGGGAAUACAGAGGGUGCGAGCGUUAAUCGGAUUUACUGGGCGUAAAGCGUGCGUAGGCGGCUUCUUAAGUCGGAUGUGAAAUCCCUGAGCUUAACUUAGGAAUUGCAUUCGAUACUGGGAAGCUAGAGUAUGGGAGAGGAUGGUAGAAUUCCAGGUGUAGCGGUGAAAUGCGUAGAGAUCUGGAGGAAUACCGAUGGCGAUGGCAGCCAUCUGGCCUAACACUGACGCUGAGGUACGAAAGCAUGGGGAGCAAACAGGAUUAGAUACCCCAGUAGUCCCUGUCUCUUAUAC
RNAcentral lists this ribosomal RNA (301 nucleotides) under uncultured bacterium. Its description in RNAcentral is "partial 16S ribosomal RNA". It matches the Rfam family "Bacterial small subunit ribosomal RNA", at positions 509 to 807 of the family's 1533-position model. The record is from RNAcentral.